UACGUAGGGGGCAAGCGUUGUCCGGAUUUAUUGGGCGUAAAGCGCGUGUAGGCGGCUUCGUAAGUCCGUUGUGAAAGUCCAGGGCUCAACCCUGGAAUGCCGAUGGAUACUGCGGAGCUAGAGUCCGGAAGAGGCGAGUGGAAUUCCUGGUGUAGCGGUGAAAUGCGCAGAUAUCAGGAGGAACACCAAUGGCGAAGGCAGCUCGCUGGGACGGUACUGACGCUGAGACGCGAAAGCGUGGGGAGCGAACAGG
RNAcentral lists this ribosomal RNA (253 nucleotides) under uncultured bacterium. Its description in RNAcentral is "partial 16S ribosomal RNA". It matches the Rfam family "Bacterial small subunit ribosomal RNA", at positions 524 to 776 of the family's 1533-position model. The record is from RNAcentral.